CAACCAAACAACCAACCAAACUCAAACUGGUGAAAAUAUUCCAACAGUAGGACUUUAAUGUUUUCACCUGAUUUAACAUUUUGCAAUAUAUGCUUUAUAUUAUAUAUUUUUUAAGAGAUCGGACUGCCUGUACCUCCUGAGUGCUGGGAUUAAAGACAUAUGUCACCACCACCACCUGUCUCCAUAUGCUUUAUCUUAAUUAUAUGCAUGUAUCUAACAGCCAGAGACCACCUUAACAAAACCCCCAGUACUAGGCAUGAGACACCCUCUUUUGAGUUGUUGGCCAAGAAACUCUGAAAACAUACAGCCUAUUGCUCUUGUCCUUAGUUACCCCCAGGAGGUGGAAGAUAAUCGUGCUCCUGAAGACACGGUGUACUUCAGAAAAGGGCCGGGAGACCUCUGAGGGAUACUGAUCCAAAUGUCCCCUCCGUGGAGACUAGCUUUCCUGGUAAGUCUAGUCCUCAGCCCUCCUUAUGGAAACUUCACUUUGCAACGGAUGGAGACUACUACAGAAAACCACAACCAAUCAAAAUGCAGACUUGUGGAACCCAGUUCCAGUGGAUACACCUACAGAACAUUCCCAUACCUAAGGCUCAGGGAACAUUGAUGAAGAGGGGCUGAGAGACUGUAAGAACCAGAGGGUCAGGACGAGGGAGUUUCUGUGAGACUGUGUCUUUUAGUAAUGUUGGAAGCUAUACCGAUAAAGUCUCACCAACAUGACCGCUCAAUGUGAGCUGAACAAGGAUGAGAGCAAUGGACAUGCCAGAGUGAAUGAGGAAAAGGCCACAAGGCUUCAGCCCCAACUCUGGGAACUCUAGGCAACUAAGAACUGCUGGAGAUGGGAGAGGUAGCCCUUCACAGGGAGAGCACAUCACUUAGUUGCUCAGUGCCAAAUGGUCAUCUCUGAGAACGUACAUACAGGGAGCAUUAGCUGAACAGACCAGGCUGUAUUUAGGAACACAUAUGUAUAUAUGAGUACAUCUAUACAUGCAAUAACUAGUGACAAAAGAGACUGUGAAUUUGAAGGAGAAUCAAGAGGGUGUAUGGGAGAGUUUGGAGGGAGGAAAGGCAAGGAUAAAUAUUGUAAUUAUAAUCUCAAAAUUAUAUGUAUAUAUUUAUAUAUCUAUUAUACCAUUUCUUUUUGCUGGACUACCUGAGAAUAAAUUGAAGAUAUCAUGACA
Molecule: long non-coding RNA, 1181 nt
Organism: Grammomys surdaster
Lineage: Eukaryota; Metazoa; Chordata; Mammalia; Rodentia; Muridae
Exons: 2
Source: RefSeq, a predicted model, not a curated record